GACGCCUUUUCCAGAGGCUGUGGACAGACGAAGACGAGAUCGAGCUUCUUCGUGGUU
RNAcentral lists this small RNA (57 nucleotides) under Arabidopsis thaliana (thale cress). RNAcentral's name for it is "ATSL132000". Lineage: Eukaryota; Viridiplantae; Streptophyta; Magnoliopsida; Brassicales; Brassicaceae. The record is from RNAcentral.